Molecule: ribosomal RNA, 253 nt
Filed under: uncultured bacterium
Lineage: Bacteria
Description: partial 16S ribosomal RNA
Rfam family: Bacterial small subunit ribosomal RNA
Source: RNAcentral
UACGAAGGGGGCUAGCGUUGCUCGGAAUCACUGGGCGUAAAGGGUGCGUAGGCGGGUCUUUAAGUCAGGGGUGAAAUCCUGGAGCUCAACUCCAGAACUGCCUUUGAUACUGAGGAUCUUGAGUUCGGGAGAGGUGAGUGGAACUGCGAGUGUAGAGGUGAAAUGCGUAGAUAUCCGGAGGAACACCGGUGGCGAAGGCGGCUUCCUGGACCGAUACUGACGCUGAGGCGCGAAAGCUAGGGGAGCAAACGGG